Molecule: RNase P RNA, 402 nt
Filed under: uncultured Cypionkella sp.
Lineage: Bacteria; Pseudomonadati; Pseudomonadota; Alphaproteobacteria; Rhodobacterales; Paracoccaceae
Description: Bacterial RNase P class A
Rfam family: Bacterial RNase P class A
About the family: Ribonuclease P (RNase P) is a ubiquitous endoribonuclease, found in archaea, bacteria and eukarya as well as chloroplasts and mitochondria. Its best characterised activity is the generation of mature 5'-ends of tRNAs by cleaving the 5'-leader elements of precursor-tRNAs. Cellular RNase Ps are ribonucleoproteins.
Source: RNAcentral
GAUGGCUGGAUGACCGCGGGCCGCAAGGUUCGAGGAAAGUCCGGACUCCAUGAAGAAAGGGUGCCGGGUAACGCCCGGCGGGGGCAACCCCAGGGAAAGCGCCACAGAGAAGAGUCUGCCAUGGUGUCAGCGGUUUACCAAUGACGGAUCCACGGCGAUGGUGAAACGGUGGGGUAAGAGCCCACCGCGGACUUGGCAACAAGGACGGCACGGCAAGCCCCACCCGGAGCAAUGCCGAAUAGGGGCCUCGGGUGGAAAGGUCUGCUUUUGCAGAGACCUCCACAGGGACACUUCAGCCCAGAGGCCCGGGUUGGCAGCUUGACCGCCCUGGCAACAGGUGCGGCAGAGGAAUGGUCAUCCAAGGGGGCAACCCCUGGACAGAAUCCGGCUUACAGGCCAUCC